Molecule: long non-coding RNA, 535 nt
Filed under: Sorghum bicolor (sorghum)
Lineage: Eukaryota; Viridiplantae; Streptophyta; Magnoliopsida; Poales; Poaceae
Description: long non-coding RNA (SBIC_LNC010579)
Source: RNAcentral
CCGCCGCAAAUUUUUCUCACUUCUAGACCAUUUUCUUCUCUAAUUCGGAGUCUGUUCGUAAAACAUCCAUAACUUACGCAUACGAACAACGAUUUCGACGUGCCAUAUAUCAAAAUCAAUCAGAAAAAAUUUUGGAUCUGUAUGUCCCCAGUGUAGGCGGGCUCAAAAAUUUUAGAAUCCCCAAAUUCGCCUAUGAAGUUUGAGUUUUCACCUCCUUAUGUUUUUUCACAUUUUUUGCAAUCUUCAUAAAAUUCCACAGGCCACAUCUUUCACUUGUUUAAGCUCAAAUUUUCUAUGGUUACUUCUGUAGUGCUCCUAAGUAAAAGAAAAAUAUCAAAAAAAUAAAAAGAAUUGCUGGGUUUUAGAUCAUGUUGUUCGGAAGACGGAUCGAUUUAUGUCUCGUUUCCACCAAAUCGAGAGUUACCAGAUACUUUCGGAAGAUCGGGCCACCCUUGUUCUCAUCAAGUGGCAAUCAAAGCUUCACUAAUACCGUUAGGUUCACAUCUAUCCUAAGUUUUCAGUGUUCUUGUGUUCG